GGUACUCGAGUGGCGAACGGGUGAGUAACACGUGGGCAAUCUGCCCUGCACUUCGGGAUAAGCCUGGGAAACUGGGUCUAAUACCGGAUAGGACCUUUAGGCGCAUGUCUUUAGGUGGAAAGCUUUUGCGGUGUGGGAUGGGCCCGCGGCCUAUCAGCUUGUUGGUGGGGUGAUGGCCUACCAAGGCGACGACGGGUAGCCGGCCUGAGAGGGUGUCCGGCCACACUGGGACUGAGAUACGGCCCAGACUCCUACGGGAGGCAGCAGUGGGGAAUAUUGCACAAUGGGCGCAAGCCUGAUGCAGCGACGCCGCGUGGGGGAUGACGGCCUUCGGGUUGUAAACCUCUUUCACCAUCGACGAAGGUCCGGGUUUUCUCGGAUUGACGGUAGGUGGAGAAGAAGCACCGGCCAACUACGUGCCAGCAGCCGCGGUAAUACGUAGGGUGCGAGCGUUGUCCGGAAUUACUGGGCGUAAAGAGCUCGUAGGUGGUUUGUCGCGUUGUUCGUGAAAUCUCACGGCUUAACUGUGAGCGUGCGGGCGAUACGGGCAGACUAGAGUACUGCAGGGGAGACUGGAAUUCCUGGUGUAGCGGUGGAAUGCGCAGAUAUCAGGAGGAACACCGGUGGCGAAGGCGGGUCUCUGGGCAGUAACUGACGCUGAGGAGCGAAAGCGUGGGGAGCGAACAGGAUUAGAUACCCUGGUAGUCCACGCCGUAAACGGUGGGUACUAGGUGUGGGUUUCCUUCCUUGGGAUCCGUGCCGUAGCUAACGCAUUAAG
RNAcentral lists this ribosomal RNA (778 nucleotides) under uncultured Mycobacteriaceae bacterium. Its description in RNAcentral is "SSU rRNA". It matches the Rfam family "Bacterial small subunit ribosomal RNA", at positions 86 to 864 of the family's 1533-position model. Lineage: Bacteria; Bacillati; Actinomycetota; Actinomycetes; Mycobacteriales; Mycobacteriaceae. The record is from RNAcentral.